UACCGUUUUACACGAAUUUCAAUGGAUCUGUAAAAUGGGGCACACUAAGUUCUCUAAUAUUCACUUUUUAUAUUAAAGAUCUCAGAGGAAUCUAGUCAGAAAGUGACUCGUAUCAGUAACCUGAAUCUAGUGGGAGGAAAACGAAAAAUCAGAAAAUUGAAGGACCCAUAUUGAUACAUAUCCAAUCCAAACUACCUCUCGCUAGCCAUAUUGCGGAGUAUCCAGCAAUCUCAGAUUUUCAAAACAAACAAAACAAAAGGUACACCAAGAAAAUGCAAGAAUGUCUUAAUGCCUCAUAAAAAAAUUCUGCAUAGAAGUUGGAAUAUCUACCAUACUGGUGUCGGAAAGAAGAAGAAAAGAUAGAGAAAAACC
Long non-coding RNA from Vigna angularis (adzuki bean), 372 nucleotides. RefSeq lists it as uncharacterized. The transcript is spliced from 3 exons. Lineage: Eukaryota; Viridiplantae; Streptophyta; Magnoliopsida; Fabales; Fabaceae. The record is from RefSeq and is a predicted model, not a curated record.